Molecule: unclassified non-coding RNA, 164 nt
Filed under: uncultured fungus
Lineage: Eukaryota; Fungi
Description: sequence contains ITS1, 5.8S rRNA gene
Source: RNAcentral
CCGAGUUGUGUCUCCCCCGGGAGCCAUCUCCACCCUGUGCGAACUAAAAAUUGUUGCUUUGGCGGGCCGCGGCCCUGCCGCCACCGGCCCCGGCUGGUGAGCGCCCGCCAGAGACCUUUUAAAAUCUUUUUUAACUUGCGUCUGAGCGAGAAAUUAAAUGCGAA